GUCACUAAUGUAAUGGGUUGCACGUUGGACUUCUAAUCCAAAGAUCGUGGGUUCGAAUCCCACCUGGGAUG
Molecule: transfer RNA, 71 nt
Filed under: Trichonephila clavata
Lineage: Eukaryota; Metazoa; Arthropoda; Arachnida; Araneae; Nephilidae
Description: tRNA-Arg
Rfam family: tRNA (bases 6-63)
About the family: Transfer RNA (tRNA) molecules are approximately 80 nucleotides in length.
Source: RNAcentral